RNAcentral lists this long non-coding RNA (722 nucleotides) under Parus major (Great Tit). RNAcentral describes it as "lncRNA (ENSPMJG00000004215.1)". Lineage: Eukaryota; Metazoa; Chordata; Aves; Passeriformes; Paridae. The record is from RNAcentral.
AAAUCACACAAAAACACCCCAAACCCACCCAAAAUCCACCCAAAACCCUCCCCAAAGCCCCCUCUCCAAAGCCCCCUCCCCAAAGCCCAGCCGGCCACUGGGGAGGGAGCACUGGAGGGGAUGGAGCCCCCAGACCCAUGAAUGGAGGGAGCAUGAAGCCCCCAGACUCAUAUGGGGUUGGGAUGUGGAUCCCAGAUCCAUAGAGAGGGAAUGAAGCCCCCAGACCCAUAAAGGGAGGAGGAGAUGAAGCCCCCAGACCCAUAUGGGGGGAGGAUGUGAAUCCCAGACCCAUGGGGAGUAAAUGAAGCCCCCAGACCCAUGGAUGGAGGGGGAGGGGAUGAAGCCCCCAGACCCAUGGAUGGAGGGGAGAUGAAGCCCCCAGACCCAUGGGGAGCAAACGAAGCCCCCAGACCCAUGGAUGGAGGGGAUGAAGCCCCCAGACCCCUGUGUUUGUGCUGGAGUGCUUGGGGAGCCCCCAGGGGGUCCCAGGAGUAUCUCAGUGGAAUAGGACAGCUUAGACACCCCCUCCCCAAAUCCCUGGGAGGAGCGUGGCGGGGUGGGGGGACCGCUCCGAGCCCCCUCCCCAAAUUGCCUUCAGGAGAUCGGGGACGUGGAGAACUGGGCCCGCAGCAUCGAGCUGGACAUGAGGACCAUCGCCACCGCCCUCGAGUACGUCUACAAGGGCCAGCUGCAGCCUUCCUGCUCCUGAGAGACCCCCAGAG